Molecule: long non-coding RNA, 1111 nt
Filed under: Sus scrofa (pig)
Lineage: Eukaryota; Metazoa; Chordata; Mammalia; Artiodactyla; Suidae
Description: lncRNA (ENSSSCG00015000802.1)
Source: RNAcentral
UAGCCCUUGACCUUGUUCAAGGCCCUUGUCUAAACUGAGCCUCAUUCUUCUCACAGUUAAAACAAGGAGGGUGGACUAGAUGUCUCUUGCCCACUGACAUUCCAUAAUUUAGGAAGGAAUCAUUGACCUAAAGCAAGAGAACUCUGGAGAAUUCAGAAAUAUAAAAUAUAUGGCUUUUUGAGCUUUGGGUUAUUUUUGUCCAUUUCAGCUCAAUUUGACCAGAGAUUGAAGAUAAUAAAAGCUCUGCUUCUCCCAAAUUUGUGGGUACAGCCCACAUCCAAUUGAUUUACACUCCUCUUGCCAUCUUAGGAGAGUUUUGUUUGUACGUUGUUCAUCCUUAUCCUUUAGAUCCUCAGGUCAGGAGGCGUCCUCACUGUUUCUCUCUCUCUGCAGCAGGGACCUCUCCAGGCGCUCUCUUCAGGCCUCAGUCAAGCGGCUGCUGAUGGCCGCAGUAAAGGGGCUGUGAUUCUGAGAUAACUGGGCUGUAGUGGGGAUACAGAGCCUUUAAGAAUUCAUGAGUAACAAGAGGAAGAUGUCCUACAUUAGUGUAAUCUACAAGAUUGACUUGGUAAAGUAGAGACAUGAUUUCUGCUUCUAUCCCCUUCUGGUUUCCUCCUGCCCUCCUGGAGGCCUCAAGCUGCCGCACAAAUGCCUCAGUGCUUGAAGCACAGUGUUCUUAGGUCCCAAGGUCAGCCGUCUACCUAUUAAUACCUAGAGAUUUUAAGAAAACCAGAAUGUGUGAGUGUCAUGUGUGUAGCCCCACCCAAGUGUCAUGGUUUUUUGUUUGUUUUUUUUCUUUUUUUCUUUUUCAGCUACAUUUUGUUUUACUGGAAGUUCCCGGGCCAGGGAUCAAAUCUGAGCUGCAGCUGUGACCUAUGUUGCACCUGUGGCAAUGCCAGAUCCUAACCCACUGCUCCAGGCUGGGGUUUGAACCCAUGCUGCUGCAGAGACAUGCUGGAUCCUUAACCUGAUAUGCCACAGCGGGAACUCAAGUGUCAUACAUUUUAUUGAAUGCCUUCUGCAGAUACCUUACCUACAAAGGGAUCGGCCUGUAAAGGGAAUUUCUCCUCUGCAGGGAAGCAGAUGUAGGCUUCAGAGGCUUGUGGUGCCC